GAUGAACGCUGGCGGCGUGCCUAAUACAUGCAAGUCGAGCGAACAGAUGAGGCGCUUGCUCCUCUGACGUUAGCGGCGGACGUGUGAGUCACACGUGGGUAACAUACCUAUAAAACUGGGAUAACUUCGGGGGACAGGAGCUAGUAACGGCUAAUAAAUUGAACCACAUGGUUCAAUAGUGAUAGACUGUUUUGCUGUUGCUUAUUGAUGGAUACGCGCGGCAUUAGCUAGUUGGUAAGGUAACGCCUUACCAAGGCAACGAAGGGUAGCCGCCCUGAAAGGGAGGAUCGCCACACGGAAUCAGAGGCACGGUCCACACUCUUAGGGUGGGCAGCAGUCGAGAAUCUUCCGGAAUGCGCGAGAGCCUGACGUUGCAACGCCGAGUGAAUUAUGAUAGUGUUCGGAUCGUAGAGCUCUGUAAUUAGUGAAGAUGAAAUGCGUAAGUAACUAUGCACGUCUUGACGGUACCUAAUCAGAAAGCCACGGCUAACUACGUG
Molecule: ribosomal RNA, 497 nt
Filed under: uncultured bacterium
Lineage: Bacteria
Description: partial 16S ribosomal RNA
Rfam family: Bacterial small subunit ribosomal RNA
Source: RNAcentral